Molecule: non-coding RNA, 13768 nt
Organism: Xyrichtys novacula (pearly razorfish)
Lineage: Eukaryota; Metazoa; Chordata; Actinopteri; Labriformes; Labridae
Source: the annotation of a GenBank genome assembly
CCGAGGCAGAAUAGACGUUUCUCCCCUGCUCUCCCACACUUUGUUUAAAUGGGACCUGCCAUCAAAAAUGUAAUUUUGUGUGUUUUUUGUGUCAGAUUAGGUCCAUAUCAUGUUCGUCUUAUGUUGUAAAUGUGAAAAUAAACCGUUACGUCGUUUGCAUUCUGUAAAGGUUUAAAAUAAAGAAACGGGUAAACCAGGCCAAUUGAAAAAGCAGAUCAUUCUGACAUCGCGCUGACCUUGCUCAUUAUUAUUCACAAGCGCAUCCUCGGUGAGCCACGCCCACUCUCUCGUUCUCUUACUCAUUCACAGUCAACAUCACUCUCCGGCCAGAGCAAGACCCAGCUACCACUGUAUCCACUAUUGGUCUCUUCCAAACGACCGGUGCUUCCUUGGGUUCACUGCCGGGAAAAUGAACUUAAAGCAGGGCAGAAUGAAUGUAAACACCGCUGGAGAUCUCUGGCUUCUUCUUCAACUUCCACCUCCUCUUCGGGCUCGGGGUCUAAAAUAUAUGGUUUAAUACCUGCCAUUUUUAGCCUUUAGCAUAAGGUGACCAGACAUCCCAGAUUUCCGGGGACAGUCCCCGAAUUGGAUGACCUGUCCCCGGCAAAAGCUGUCCCCGAAAAUGUCCCCGAUUUAAGCAUUUCAUGAAUGAGAGCAACAAUGUUGCGUGUGGGCUCGAACAACGGUUCUUACAGUAGCCAAAUAGGUAGGAAGCACAAGUAAGCAGUCCUGAACAACAGUUCUUACGGGGGUUAUUACAAAGGGCAUGCGCUGCUACUAAAUAGUACCGAGAUUUUGUCUGUGAUCACGCAGCCCCUGCACCCUCCCCGCCGCUGCCACCGCACCAAAUAUCCCUGGAUAUCAUUACAGACAUCUGGGCACCUUACUUUAGCACACAUUAGCAAAAUGGAUAAACCGAAAUCCGAACCUCCACUGCUGAGCCAAUCAGAGCACAGCAGGCUUCACGCAGCGAUCCAAUCAGAGCAAGCUCAUUACCAUAAAUGUUAAUGGGCCAAAAUCAGUUGGUUUUCCUGUAAGGUUUUUUAGGCAUACUAAAAACAAACCAUCAAAUAACUUUUCAGCUAAAAUUAUGUUGCAAACAUGAUCAGAGGACAUCAAGGAUUAUGAAAAAAUGAUUAAAAUGGGUAUGAAAUUUUGAUGGCAGGUUCCCUUUAAACUUCAUGUUUUCAAGUCCUCUCUACACCUCCUUCUACUAAACAAGCCAAAAAAGACUCUGCGCCCUCCGGCACCACAGCUGCUAAGGAACUUAGCAUGGACGCGCUAACUAGCCUCUUAAGUCAACAUAGGGCCAAGUUGGCUUCGGAGUUGAAGACAUCGUUCUUGAUACUCAAGACCAAAAUAGACUUCCUCCAAACCACUGUGUCGAGUCACGGCCAGCGUAUCAUUUCUCUGGAGACCAACGCAAACUCGGUGGAUGAUCAGCUGCAGAGCCUCGAGGCUAGAUGCUCCGAGCUAACCGUGACUAACGAGAAGCUAAAGGCAAAAACAGCAGACCUGGGGCCUUAUGUAUCAAUACUUGCGUGGAACUCAUACCAGAAACGAGCGCACGCAAGGUCCAUCACGCUGAAAAAAAUCCGUAUGUAUCAAUGUGUGCGGGCGCCGAAAUCCACGUGUGUUUCCUUGAUAAAUCCCAAUCAGCGUGGAAUUGAGCGCAGAUGUCGGAGUGACUGGGCCAGCCCCCGUUACGCCCUCCUAUAAAUAUGCAGAUUUAUUUAAAUCUGGUCUCCCUGCAGACAAAAUGACAAGAAAAACUAAAUUUACGGCGUGUGAGGUGGAGGUGCUGGUGGCGGAGGUGGAGGAGCGACAACCUGUUUUGUUUGGCAGCCUGUCCAGUGGCGUCAGUGCAAAACAAAAACGCUUGGAGUGGGAGAAAGUUCGCGAGAGGGUGAACGCGGUGGGUUCCGAGACACGCACCCCCGCGGAGAUUAAAAAAAAGUGGUCGGACCUCAAGGUGGAGGUCAAGCGGCGUACAGCUGCCCUCCGGAGGAGUACCGGCCAGACAGGUGGGGUUCCGGGGGAGGAGACCCUCACGCCAUUUGAGCAGCGGGUGGUGGCGAUUAUUAUUAUAGGGUAAGUGGCGUGUCACACAAAUGUCCACAUGCUUUGCCAUCCCACUGAGCAAAAGACGUAUAUUAGACGUCUAGUCUAAGUUUAUACUUCAUUUCAACGUCGGGAUUCAGUCUAUUUUUAGACAGGAUUUAUACUUCGCCCUUAACUUCAUUUUUCGAUAACUUUUUAUGCAAUAAACAACUGUAAUGUGCAUAACUGACCUCUAAAUACUGGAUUACAUUACCUACGAUACCGUGGAGAGAGAUGUAAACGCAACAGAUACACAGAAGCAGGAAUUGAAAUGAACCAAUAUUUUUAUUGUGUCACAGAAAUCAAUGUGUCGGCCAUGUCGCCGGCUUGCGGAACCCCGGCCUGCGGCAGCCCGUCCGCCGGCAUUCGGGCCACCCCGGCCCCCGGCCCCAGCAUCAGCAUCAGCAUCAGCACCAGCGCGCCGACAAGCGGUGGAGCGUCCACCAGCCGCGGCGCUUCCGCUGGACCACCCGGAAGCAGUGGAAGGGUCCUCACGGAGGCGGUCCUGCAAUCGCAGGAAGAAAUCAUCAGGGGGAUCGCGGGGAUCAACGAGCGGCUGGAGGCGAAAAUAAAUUAAUUUGGCUCAUUGAACUGUGUAUUCACUUCUUACCCAUUCACACUGUGGCGAUGAGAUUCUCCCGCGCGAGAACGGCGGCCGGCAGUGAUCAGCUCGCAUCCCUCCGUCUGCUGCUGGUUCGUCAUGUGGGGCGACGUGCUGCUCCGCCACGGGGAUAUGGUGCAGCUUGUCACAUAGUGAGUCACCAAACACCGCCACACAGCGUCGCCAAAGUGCGAAUCACAGUCAACGCAAGUAUCCGCUCAACGCCAAUUUCUACACCACCUCCUGACUUUGCGUUGAUUAGCGCUGGAACCGACGCUCGUUUCGCGAUGAUAAAUCUGGACGUGUGCGCCGAUUUUGGUGUACGCAAGGUUUUCUUGCGCCGCAAGCGUUGAUACAUAAGGCCCCUGGAGGCUUGUAGCCGCCGCAAUUAUGGUCGGAUUAUAGGACUUCCUGAGUCCAUUGAAGGCCCACGACCAACCGACUUCUUCUCCAAACUGCUGUGCCAACUUAUGGGCGAGGAAAUACUCCCCACGCCGCCUGUGCUGGAUUGAGUGCACCGGUCCCUAGCCCCGAAACCGAAACCAGGCGAGCGUCCACGACCCGUAAUCGUCUGGUUUCACAACUACCAAACCAGGGAAAAGGUCCUCCGUGAAGCCCGCAAGAGAAGGCCUAAUCUACCACAUCUGGGGAAACUUGUGGCUAUCUUCAAAGACUUCUCCCCCUCUCCCCCCUCAUGUCCCUCCUCUAUAACCGCGGGUUGAAACCCAGCCUCCGGCGAAGCUGUAUAUUACCGUGAACGAGGGGGAAAAGAUCCUACUUUCGUUGGUGGAUAAGGCUAAAGAAUAUCUCACCAGUGGAGACGCCUAAAGAGAUCCUAUUACACGGUAAUAGUGCCUGGUUAUGGCUUGUCUACCAUCCAUAAACAUUAGAAAUGUUGGACUGGAUAACGUCAACGGCAUAAACUCAUAAUUAAUAAGUUGUUUAUUUUGCUAAAUUGUUUACAUAUAAUCAAUCCAUUCUGUGCUCAGUGCAUCUUAUGUUCGGUCUGGUUACACCGAUUGUUUCAUAGUAGCUGCUUCAUAGAGGUGUCUUUAUCACACUUUGUUCUUAGCUUUUACUAAGGUAAUAUCCCAAGGUUGUGUGGACGCUUACAAUUUUUGUCAACACUGCUUUUGUUGCCAAUUUUGGUAUAUACUGACCCCCUGCUGCAAUCUAUGUCUGUGUUUAUAUAUACUUAGAUCUGGGCUGCCCUGCAGGUGGGCAUUUACAAGUUAAUUUGUCGAGUCUUGACAAAUUAUGACAAAUUUUGUCUUGCCUCAGUUGAAGCUCUUUUACUCUCAUGAUUUGGAGAGAGGCUGAAACAGUGUUUUUUUUUCCUUCUGCAAUGGGAAAGGGGUAGUUUAGAAGCAAGUUCUACAUGGUAUCUAGGGAGAUACUCAGGCUAGGUUUGAUUUUUUUUUCUAUUGUAUUUUUGUACGUAAAUAUGACUCUGUGGGUGUGUACGAAAGCUUUCUUUUUUUUUUUUUCACAUGUUCAUAGGUCUUAUUCUCGGAUUGAUUUCUUUCUACUCGAUAAUAGAUUAUUAGACAACACGCAGUCAUGCGAGUACCACAGCAUAGUAAUCUCUGACGAUUCUCCUGUCUCUCUAAACAUAAACCUUGCCCAGGGCAGACUACCUAACAAACCCUGGAGGUUCAAUUUGCACAUGCUAUCUGAACCAAAGUUCAAGGACCUUUCAUCCACUUUUUUUUUUAUAUCAAUGAUACACCGGAUGUUAGUCGCAAUGUACUUUGGGAGUCCUUCAAGGCUUACUUGCGUGGACAAAUUAUUUCUUUUAUCUCUAGCCGCAGGAAGUUGGAGCGCUCUGAAUUAAAUCAAAUAUCACAUGAAAUACAAAGUUAGAUGCUCGAUAUUCAGUCGACCCUUCAGAUGCCCUGUAUAAAAAACGUGUGCAGCUCUAAUCGCAGUAUAACUUACUAAUGUCUGGCCGAAUUGAGAAACAACUUUUGAACACCAAGCAACGCUUCUUUGAGCAAGGGGACAGAGCUGGAAAACUCCUGGCUUACCAAGCUUGAACUGCGGCUGCAUCCAGACUUAUACCUAGGAUUAAGCUAACCUCUGAUGUUACCACUUCAAAUCCUACUGCUAUUAACAAUGCAUUUGUCAACUUCUUUUCUGAGCUAUAUUCUUCCAAAACCUCUCAGUGCCUCUGGGAUGGCCCAAACCCUCUGGACCUCCUCUCUUACCCUCAGAUUGACCCGACGGCCCGGACUGAUUUGGGUGCACAAAUCUUCAAAUAGAUUUUAAAGUAUUAGCAAAAGUCCUAGCUGGCCGGCUUCAGGGAGUCAUUUCCUCCUUGAUUAACCCAGACCAGACUGGCUUCGUCUCUGGGAGACACUCAUCUUCAAACACACGCAGGUUAUUUAAUAUACUUCACUCCCCCUCCACCAACUCUCCCGAACUGGUUUUGUCUCUAGAUGCUGAAAAAGCGUUUGACCGCUUAGAGUGGAGAUAUCUUUUCCAUGUCCUGGAUAAAUUCGUCCUCAGCCCUAAUUUUAUCGAGUGGAUACAACUUCUUUAUGCUUCUCCCUCAGCUUCUGUCAGCACUAAUGGCAUUAAAUCCCACUCGUUUCCUUUGCACAGAGGUACGCGACAGGGUUGCCCUCUUUCCCCACUGCUGUUUGCUUUGGCAAUCGAACCCCUUGGCAUCUGGUUGCAUGGAGAGAGUGGGGUUGAGGGCAUCAAACGCUAUGGACAGCUUCACAAAACUUCUUUUUAUGCUGACAAUCUCUUGCUUUAUAUAUCCAAUCCAACAUCCAGUCUCCCUUUAAUUUUAGGUAUUUUUGGGAAAAAGCGACUACAUGCCAAUAAACCCUGCCACUGACCUUCUCCUGCCUGGUCUCCCUCCCUUUAGGAAAGCCACUGAUGGUCUUAAAUAUCUUGGAAUCCAGGUGACAAGAUCAUAUCUUGAUUUGUUUGAUAAAAACUUCAACCUUUUGAUCGAGCAUUGCAAAUUAGUUCUCACCAGAUGGUCCUCGCUCCCCCCUCUCUGAUUGGACGAGUCAGUCUGGUUAAAAUGUCACUACUUCCACAAUUUCUUUACCUUUUCCAACAUGUACCUGUCUUCAUUAGAAAAUCUUUUUUUUUGUAACCUUGAUCAAUACAUUAGCUCAUUUCUUUGGAGCAAUAAACGGGCACGUAUUGGUUGAGCAGCCAUCCGACUUCCCAGAUCCCUGGGAGGGUUAGCGCUCCCAGACUUUCGCUAUUAUUAUUGGGUCUGCAAUAUCACCAAACUCCUCUUUUGGAACACUAAUAAAGCAAUGCCUGACUGUCCACGCUGGGCUCUGAUUGAAACUUCCUCCUCACAACUCUGCCUUUGUUCUGUGGUGUGCUCCCAACUGCCCCUGUUGCCUAAACAGGUUAGCCCCAAUCCAAUUGUAUCAAACACGCUGAGGAUUUGGAUUGAGUUCAGAAAAGUGUUUGGUCUUCAUACUCAGUCAUGUCAAUCACCAAUUUUUCAAAAUCACCAUUUUGCUCCCUCAUGCACUGACCCAGCGUUCCGUAUCUGGUCUGAGAAGGAUCCCAGCAUCCCCCAUACUCUCUCACUGACCAAUUUUUAGCCCUCAAUCCUAGGAAGAAGGGACUCAUUGGGAUCGCAUACAAACAGAUUCACACCUUGUCCUCGACUCCUCUAACCUGACUUAGGGCUGCGUGGGGUCAAGAUCUUGGCAACCCCUUUUACAGAUGUGCAAUGGGAGGGGGUACUAAAUAAUGUCCACUUUUCCUUUAUUUGUGCCAGGCAUAGCCUUCUCCAAUUUAAAAUACUGCAUAGAGCCUAUCUCACGAAUGCUAAACUGGCAAAAAUAUAUCCAGGCAGAGCUGACGUAUGCAACAGAUUUAGACAGGGCCCUGCUGAUUUGGUUCACAUGUUUUUGUAUUGGCCUAAACUGUCAGAGUUUUGGGAUGCGAUAUUUGACUCACUAAGUAAGGUAACAGGUCGAACCAUACCAUUCGAUCCCCUCACUGCUCUCUUUGGAGUUUAUUCUCACUGCAGUGCGUCUAUAGCAACGCGAAAAAUUUUAGCAUUCACUACAUUACUUGCUCGAAUGGUCCCACCCUUCCGCCGCGACUCAUAAUAAAUUGAUUCAGGAGGUACUUCAUUGUAUUACGCUUGAGAAGAUUAGGCUCUCCUUAAAGGGGUCCAUAAGCAGCUUCUAUAAAAUGUGGCAGCCCUUCAUCUCAUACAAUGAGUCUACUGCCAUCAUAGCAGAGACCAACUGAGCCCUCCCCCCUCCCCUCUUUUCUUUUUAUUUAUCCUUAUUUGAUUUAUUUUUUUUAUCGUCGUCAGUAUUAUUACGACAGUUUUUUUUUUUUUGCUUUCGGUUUCAUUGUUUACUAUCUGUGCCUUGUGCUUGUCUGUUGUGAGAAUGGUAGGAUUGAAUGUGUGUACUCUGGGUUUGGUGGGUGGGGGGGAUAGGUAGGUAGUCUGCUACCACACCUGGGAUGACUUGGGUUAACACAGGCUGGUUCCCAUGAUUUAUUCUGAACUACUGUCCAAUGUAAGAACUGUAACCCAGGCUACUAUUAAAAAAUUCAAUAAAGAUAUUUUGAAGGAUAAAUAAUAAGUUCAAGCACGGAACAGACAAAAAAAAAUAUUUGUUUGUCUUAGUGAGUUAAAUUGUUUUAUUCCCUUUUUUAAAUUUCUAGUAUAUCUUCUUUUAUCUGUAAAGCACUUUGAGUUGCCUUAUGUAUAAAUGGUGCUCUACAAAUAAACUUGCCUUGCCUUUUAUGCAGUUCCCCAAAACGAUAUGUGCAACUCCAUGGCUUCAAACUUCAUUUUUUUUUUACCUACGAUCACUUUGCUCUCACAAACUCUCCAUGGUGAUGGCCAAUAGGGCACGCAAAAUCCUUGGGCUCUAUUUUCUCCCCCCUUUUUCUGUCUUCCUCUUCCUCUUAUUCCUUGUGCAGCUCGACCUGGACAUGUCUCUGUGUCCUCUCCCUGUCCUGCUGCUGCUGCGGCAGCUGGACAGAUGAUUUAUUUCAGUGAUCAGAUGAGUUAUUUACUUUAAGACUACAUACAAAUAUUAUAAUAUUCAGUUUUGUGAGCCAAAUUUAUUUUAUACGCCAACAUCUAUGAAAGAAACAGCCAGGCCACGGAGCGUGAUGCGUCAUUUACGCACAGGUGGUUCCAAUUAUUAGAUUUCAUUAUUUUUUCAUUUCAUUUCAUUGUUAGAAUUUAUGUUGUGAUCUGUGCGCACAACCCACCUUUGUCGCAUGAAGUUUGAAUACAUGCAACUUUAUGUGAGUGUCUUUAUUUGUGGAAAAGGGUGUUUGUCUUACCAGUGGGUCCAACAUUACACACAUCAAAUCCCUCUGUGCUUAUAUGAGACAGUGUGGAGGACGCUCUCCGCAGUGCUUACAGGGACACUUGUUGAGGGGCUGCCUUCUGUCGCCAUCGUGUGGCAUAGCUGUCUUCAGAUAUCUCUUGAUCUCUUUGACUACUUCAUGAAAAUUGUUAUACUCCUCGCCGGUGGCGGAUUUAAAGGUGAGGAGAGGAGCUUAUGUGAAUGAUGAAAACAGGUCUGUGUCUAUACCACUCUGUGUUAAACCCACUCCACGCCUUAUCCUCUCCCCCUCUACUACUUACGCCACUGGGAGGAGCUGAGUUAGGGAGGGAGGAUACUUACGCCGGGCUGCGCCACUCACCAAAAUACCAAAGUGUGCUUGGGCAUGCCUUGUCGGCGUGGCAGACCUGACUUACGCGCCUGCGCCACGCCAUAGGUGAGGCACGAAAAUAGAGCCCCUUGUGUAAAGAGGUCAUUCCACUCCACUUUUGCACCUGUUAUCAAUUGCGCAUGCAAUGAUAGUAGAUCACCAGCAACACGCCCACUUAUAGCACGUGCAAUUUCUUAGUUUGCACACACAAUUAGCGUUCGCUAUUCGGGGUCUUAGUAGAACAGGUCCUAAGAGUACAAGCAAAGACUCAGCACAGGCCAGUCCUCCCUCUGUGAUCAGUCUCAGCUGAAGGUUUUUUGAAUUCUCAUUGACAAUCCUAAAUUUAACCUGAAAGUACCUCGCUCAUCAGCUCUACCUUCACAGCUCAUGUAAGUCUUUGUAUCUCUCUGAGUCUCUCUCUGUCUAAGAUGUCAGCGAAUCGUUUGCGUCCCAGUCUCUCAGACAGUCCAACGGUAGAUCUGAAUCACUGGUAUCUCUGUGUAUAAACCCUCUGUGUGUGCCUGACCUCUGCCUCCUAAAGACUGAAUCUCUGCCUCACCCAGGCUCCAGUCCUCAGGCCUCACUCUCACCUCUGCCCCUCCCCCUUACCUCUGCACACCAGGUGUAUAAGUGGGUUAGUGCUCGGCUAAGCUACCUGCUCCUCAGGUCGGUUGCAGCAGGACGUCCUUCUUUAAAUGUCAUCCAUAUUCUCCUGAGCGUGGGAGAACACGUAGCCGGGGAGGAGAUCAGGAUCAGAGGGGAGAAAGAGCACUCCUCUGGAUGUGAACUUCAACUUGACCUCUGACCUCCCUUUGCCUGGCUCAGAUAUCAAAACACAGAACCAUCUGCCUGUGGGAGCAGGGCAGCGGGAAGUGCGGGGUUAAUAUCAUACACUCACAGAGCAGAAUACAGACCCUAAUUUUCUCCCAUACUCACACACAAUCCGUUUAUUUGAUCUUGGAGCCGCGACAGAUGGAUGGGGGCCGCACACUUCCACCCUCUCUCUCUCUCUGCUGCCAUUCCUGUGCAGAGCGAGCAAGGAGGGGCACAUAAUGGUGAGAGAGGGCAAGAAAGGGUGAGAAAGGGCGCAGGGUGAGGCAGAAAAAAGGAGGAGGAGGGAAAUCUGAACCUGCAGGGGUCGGCCUCCUCCUUUAUCUCUCUGUCAAUCACAAUGGGAGAGGAGUGUUUGAGGGAUGAAAAAGUGAUGGAGAGACAAGAAAGAGAAGGAGGAGGAGAAGAGGUGGACAGCUGGGGCAAGAUUCAGUUUCUUCACCUGAUAAUUAUCUAUUUUAUAACCAAAUCUGCAUAAAUAAUCUAAAACUGUCCAAAAUACUUUAUAUCAACAGAAGAUUCAAGCAAUAUGCAGUACCAUACCAGCAAUAUGUAUUCAUCUGCUUCACAGAGUUCUGGCCUCAUUCAGCUCAUUGUUUUGGCUCCACAGAUUAGGGAGAAUAGGGACAGGGAGACCUUUUAAUCUCUCUUAUAGUGUGUGAUUGACUUUUAAUUAUCAACUGUAUAACUUUAGUGUUUUGUACUGUAAAUGGACAUGGAAGUGCCCCCAAAAAUACAAAAAACACAAAUGAGUUAUAUCGAUUCAUGCUAAAUCCCCUGAAACAAUCUGGGACUUUCUAAAUGACUGAUAUUGAAUAUUUGUGCAGAGGACAGGGCAGAGUAACUGUUCCACUUCAGGACACACUGACCAUUUGGUCAUCUUUUGUUACAGGGUGAAAUAAAUGCAGCAAUGCUGUCACUUUACCAUACUGUAAGUCCUCUAAUAGAGACCGCCAGGCCCCUCAUAAUGAACAGGAUCAAGUCCUUUAGGAGUGAAUAAAUACUGGAUCUCAUUUAGUGGCCGGGACAGUUUCAUAUUUCUAUCAUAGAGAACAGCUUACUGUUGAGAUCACGAUGAUCACACACACUAGCCAGACUGUCUGUACACUUAUAACAUCUGUUUUGUAGUGAAAUAUUUCAAAGACCAACUCUACGCAGUCUGCUGCAGGUUUUUAUGGCACUAGUGAUGGAAAGAACAGUUCUCUUGACUGUACUGAAUCUUUAGAAUCCGUACAUUAAAAUGAUUUGUUCAAGUGUUUAAGUGAGUGACACAGCUGCAAGUUCGUUGACCGAAGGAGCCCAUCCCCUCCCCUGCUGCUGAAGUCACAGCAUCGUUCACUGGGUGACACAUGUCGUUCAUUCACCAAGUCGUGAAGGAAGAAUCACUCCCCUGCCUUGAAAAACUCACUUCUCCGUUUGUCGCCGGUGGCGGAAACAACACAGCAGCAAGCAGCACACCUGCUAAACGAGCACGAGUCGUCAUUCUUUUAUAUGGUGGAAAAGUGGAGAGAUUAAAAAUUAAAAAAACUUACAGCAGUAGCAGGUAUUCUGCUCCUUUUAAAGAUAUUAGCGCAUUGCUUUAAAUCUGCUGAAACUAAAUUCUUCUUGCAGGAAAGUUUAUACACGUGUAUUAAUGUAAAGGUGCUAUAAUGCACUGUUUUAUCUUAGCCUCAGUGAAUAAACCAGUGCUCAGCAGUAAGUGAACGACACUACACCCCUCCCUUCUCUGCCUUACCUAAGUCGUUCCGAAGUCGUUCGCAUUGUUCACAGUCUGACCAAUACAUGUCAUUCUUUCGCUGUGAGCAAAUCACAAGACUCUGCCCACCCACUGGCUGGCUGGCUGGCUGGUUCGCCGCACCCCCCUCCCUACACAGUUUGACACGACUCAACUUCGAAAUGAAAGAAUUUAACUACGGGCUAAAAAUGAGUCAUUACCUUUGACAAAGUGGUCACAGCACACACGGGCAUUAUCAGCUCCUCCAGACCGUAGGCGGAGAUUAAAAAGCCAUUUUUGCCAGCGUUUUUCAGUCAGCUUCUUACACUUUACUCUUUGUGUAACACUACUUUGGGCACAUGAUAAGAGCUGUUCGAUCGAUUCAAGCAGCCGUAAACGGAGCAAAACAUCGGCAUGUUGCUGGUCUCUAUAGCAGCAACUCACUUCCUGCCCUCCAUCUGUAUUACGCGCGUGCCGCGUAACAUGAAAGUGACGUCAAGUGAAAACCACCUAUACACGGUAAAAUAGGGGAAUAGGGUGCUUCAUUUAUGAUGCUUGUUUGCACAGAGAGAGAUAUUUCUUUUAUUUUAUGCAUAAUGGACCGUUUAAAUAAACAUGUACUUAACUGGUGCACAGAGACACUAAUUCGAUAUGAAGACCUACCCUCUAUACAAGCCUGCUUCGUAUUACAGCCUGGUACCUUCACCACCUGAGGCAAGAAGGGGACCUGGGUCAAAACCCUUAUGCUGUCACAAAAAAAUUGUGAAAAUUAGAUGCUAUAUUAUUUUUUGUUACUAAAUGUAGCAGAGAUUCACUGAAGCUUUGUAUAAAGGAAAUACAAUGAGGCCUCAGAAACACAGGGGUCUGCCCCAGUGUGAGUGGAGGGACGGAUGAAGAUGAACGUGUCAGGCUGCUCAACUUUUUCAUGCAAACAUACAAAACUCAAUCAAGAGCUCCACGUUAUCAUAAGUUACAUCAUUAAGAGAUGAAACACAUUGCUGCAGCUGUGAGCUCUGAUGGAAUAUUAUAAUAGCACCAUUCAAUGAUGUGUUUUCAGCUUAUAGUAUUUAUAUGAUCUAAUAAAGGUGUAUAAGUAAAUAAUGUAUAAUCAAGUAUCAUUUCGACUUGUUAUAGGUUUGGAGGACUGGUCUUGGGUCCAACCUCUGACUCUAAAACUGGAAACAGUUUUCAGUGACAGGGAUUUUCUCACAAACUGUGUGCAUGAACAAAAACCUGGUACAUGAGUGAAUCCUGGUCAGAUCAGUGGGUUCAGUUGGUCUGGCUCUGAGGACUGAGGGACAGUCUCGUCUUGGUGGAUCUGUUCUCUGACUGACCACAGCUCUGAUGUUUCUGAACUUACAGACUUUCACCACAACAUUGUUCUGCGGCCCCACAGUGGGACGUUGCCCCAGGCUGCCCACCAGCCCACUGAGCAAGACGUCCCCAAGGACCCCCAACAACAAACCUGCGAACAAACCGGCUGUGCCUGGCCCUGGUCAGAGGGAGCACUGCCUGAGGCCAGUCUACCAGCCGGACCCUGAACCUCCUCCAGACAGCAAGAGGAAAGAGACUCCCUGAGGUCCCAGACCUCUCCCUGUUAUGACUCAUGGCCUGUCUGAGGGUCUAAGAGAGUUAGGGAGCAGACAAAUGAAAGAUGCAAAGAACAAACGGAACAGAAAGAGAGAUUAGAGGACAGUCACUAAGGCUAAAUCCUCUUUUUUCUCUGGUGUCUCUGAUGUUCUGUCAAAGCACUGCAGAACCUGGGUGCUUAAACUAAACACAGACUGAGAGAAAUGGAUUCAAAGAGGACAACUAAGAGGACCUUCAGAUCCUUAGUCUGAAUGUUUUUAAGUCUUUACCGUAGAGGCAAUGACUCUUACAGCAGCAGAAACAAACUUUGCCUGUUAGUUUCUGUGAGCGAUGACUCUUCUUGGAUCACAGCAGCUAAUAGCCAACAUGCCGAGAGAGCGAUUAAGAGGAAAUAAACCUGCAUGGACAUAUUUAUAAAGUCAUUUACACCACGGGUCAUAGAGCGUCUAUUAAAGGAUCAUCAGGGGAGCACUUCACUAAACUGUCUGAUGUAUGAUUCUAACUGUAAGUCCGUAUAUACGUUUUUUUUAAUGCUUAAAAAAAAAAAACAGCUGGAGGAACAUCUGAUGAGCUGAAUUUCCAACAGGUUACUAACAUGACAGGGUAUAAAAAAGACAUUCAGAAGAGCUGGGUCUCUCAGAAGGAAAGAUGGAGAAAAGGUUCACCACUCAGAGAGAGACUGUGUGAGCUAAUAGUUCAACAGUUUCAGAAUAAAGUUCUUCAAUAUCAAACUGUAGAUUUUUUUCAGUUUAAAGUUAAAAAAGUUCUUCUUUCAGAAGCAUUACAAUUUACUCAAACUUCGCAGCGAUCCUACAUCAACUACGUGUCACUGCGCUGACAUGUAGGUGAUGUAGGACUGACUUUAUUGGUCCAACUCUAGACCAAUACAGUCAGCAUCGUUCACUUACAGUCAGUCUCAGACUGUACAGGUCCAUGUCACAGAUUCACCUGUGAUUAGUUCAUUGGUUCACGAUCCACAAAUGGCAUAUUUUAGAGAGAUGCUCACGCCAAGUCGAGGUUAGUUGUCUCACUGAGUGGUGCGGCGUUUGUUCAUUUACCUGUCAUAAGUCCAUGUGUUGUGUUGCUCCUGCUUGUAGUCGAGCAUAUCAAUUCAAAUAUGAGACAAGCUGAACUGAAAAAAAAUGGGUUCAUCUUAGUUUAUCGGAGUUUAGUGUUUUUAGUGCCAGUAUACAUUUUUGUCAGUAGAUGGCACCAUCGUUUUCAGGACAAGUGUACCCCAAUGCCUGAUGACAACC